RNAcentral lists this ribosomal RNA (504 nucleotides) under uncultured bacterium. RNAcentral describes it as "partial 16S ribosomal RNA". It matches the Rfam family "Bacterial small subunit ribosomal RNA", at positions 30 to 523 of the family's 1533-position model. The record is from RNAcentral.
AUUGAACGCUGGCGGCACGCUUAACACAUGCAAGUCGAGCGGUAACAUGGGUAGUAGCAAUACUAUCUGAUGACGAGCGGCGGACGGGUGAGUAACACGUAGGAACUUGCCCAGUAGAGGGGGACAACCAAGGGAAACUUUGGCUAAUACCGCAUAUACUCGAGAGAGGAAAGCUGCCAGCAAUGGUGGCGCUAUUGGAGAGGCCUGCGUCCGAUUAGCUAGUUGGUGAGGUAAUAGCUUACCAAGGCGAGGAUCGGUAACUGGUCUGAGAGGACGACAAGUAACACGGGGACUGAGACACGGCCCAGACUCCUACGGGAGGCAGCAGUGGGGAAUCUUGGACAAUGGGAGCAACCCUGAUCCAGCGAUGCCGCGUGAGUGAAGAAGGCCUUCGGGUCGUAAAGCUCUUUAGGCUGUGAAGAAGGUUAGUAGUUUAAGAGAUAACUAGCUUGACUGUACCAGCAGAAUAAGCACCGGCAAACUCUGUGCCAGCCGCCGCAGUAA